AUUGAACGCUGGCGGCAGGCCUAACACAUGCAAGUCGAGCGGAUGAAGGGAGCUUGCUCCUGGAUUCAGCGGCGGACGGGUGAGUAAUGCCUAGGAAUCUGCCUGGUAGUAGGGGAUAACGUCCGGAAACGGGCGCUAAUACCGCAUACGUCCUGAGGGAGAAAGUGGGGGAUCUUCGGACCUCACGCUAUCAGAUGAGCCUAGGUCGGAUUAGCUAGUUGGUGGGGUAAAGGCCUACCGAGGCGACGAUCCGUAACUGGUCUGAGAGGAUGAUCAGUCACACUGGAACUGAGACACGGUCCAGACUCCUACGGGAGGCAGCAGUGGGGAAUAUUGGACAAUGGGCGAAAGCCUGAUCCAGCCAUGCCGCGUGUGUGAAGAAGGUCUUCGGAUUGUAAAGCACUUUAAGUUGGGAGGAAGGGCAGUAAGUUAAUACCUUGCUGUUUUGACGUUACCAACAGAAUAAGCACCGGCUAACUUCGUG
RNAcentral lists this ribosomal RNA (484 nucleotides) under uncultured bacterium. Its description in RNAcentral is "partial 16S ribosomal RNA". It matches the Rfam family "Bacterial small subunit ribosomal RNA", at positions 30 to 507 of the family's 1533-position model. The record is from RNAcentral.